This 460-nucleotide ribosomal RNA is filed under the name uncultured bacterium. RNAcentral's name for it is "partial 16S ribosomal RNA". It matches the Rfam family "Bacterial small subunit ribosomal RNA", at positions 338 to 795 of the family's 1533-position model. The record is from RNAcentral.
CCUACGGGGGGCAGCAGUGAGGAAUAUUGGUCAAUGGACGAGAGUCUGAACCAGCCAAGUAGCGUGAAGGAUGACUGCCCUAUGGGUUGUAAACUUCUUUUAUAUGGGAAUAAAAUGUUCCACGUGUGGGAUUUUGUAUGUACCAUAUGAAUAAGGAUCGGCUAACUCCGUGCCAGCAGCCGCGGUAAUACGGAGGAUCCGAGCGUUAUCCGGAUUUAUUGGGUUUAAAGGGAGCGUAGGUGGAUUGUUAAGUCAGUUGUGAAAGUUUGCGGCUCAACCGUAAAAUUGCAGUUGAAACUGGCAGUCUUGAGUACAGUAGAGGUGGGCGGAAUUCGUGGUGUAGCGGUGAAAUGCUUAGAUAUCACGAAGAACUCCGAGUGCGAAGGCAGUUCACUGGACUGCAACUGACACUGAGGCUCGAAAGUGUGGGUAUCAAACAGGAUUAGAUACCCUAGUAGUC